Molecule: ribosomal RNA, 497 nt
Filed under: uncultured bacterium
Lineage: Bacteria
Description: partial 16S ribosomal RNA
Rfam family: Bacterial small subunit ribosomal RNA
Source: RNAcentral
GAUGAACGCUGGCGGCGUGCCUAAUACAUGCCAGUCGAGCGAACGGACGAGAAGCUUGCUUCUCUGAUGUUAGCGGCGGACGGGUGAGUAACACGUGGAUAACCUACCUAUAAGACUGGGAUAACUUCGGGAAACCGGAGCUAAUACCGGAUAAUAUUUUGAACCGCAUGGUUCAAAAGUAAAAGACGGUCUUGCUGUCACUUAUAGAUGGAUCCGCGCUGCAUUAGCUAGUUGGUAAGGUAACGGCUUACCAAGGCAACGAUGCAUAGCCGACCUGAGAGGGUGAUCGGCCACACUGGAACUGAGACACGGUCCAGACUCCUACGGGAGGCAGCAGUAGGGAAUCUUCCGCAAUGGGCGAAAGCCUGACGGAGCAACGCCGCGUGAGCGAUGAAGGUCUUCGGAUCGUAAAACUCUGUUAUUAGGGAAGAACAUAUGUGUAAGUAACUGUGCACAUCUUGACGGUACCUAAUCAGAAAGCCACGGCUAACUACGUG